Molecule: ribosomal RNA, 511 nt
Filed under: Coniochaeta sp. ZJLQ469
Lineage: Eukaryota; Fungi; Ascomycota; Sordariomycetes; Coniochaetales; Coniochaetaceae
Description: eukaryotic LSU rRNA
Rfam family: 5.8S ribosomal RNA (bases 193-346)
Source: RNAcentral
CCUGCGGAGGGAUCAUUAUUAGAAGCCGAAAGGCUACUUAAAACCAUCGCGAACUCGUCCAAGUUGCUUCGGCGGCGCGGCCCCCCUCACGGGGGCGCCGCAGCCCCGCCUCUCCGGAGGUGUGGGGCGCCCGCCGGAGGUACGAAACUCUGUAUUAUAGUGGCAUCUCUGAGUAAAAAACAAAUAAGUUAAAACUUUCAACAACGGAUCUCUUGGUUCUGGCAUCGAUGAAGAACGCAGCGAAAUGCGAUAAGUAAUGUGAAUUGCAGAAUUCAGUGAAUCAUCGAAUCUUUGAACGCACAUUGCGCCCGCUAGUACUCUAGCGGGCAUGCCUGUUCGAGCGUCAUUUCAACCCUCAAGCCCUGCUUGGUGUUGGGGCCCUACGGCUGCCGUAGGCCCUGAAAGGAAGUGGCGGGCUCGCUACAACUCCGAGCGUAGUAAUUCAUUAUCUCGCUAGGGACGUUGCGGCGCGCUCCUGCCGUUAAAGACCAUCUUUAACUCAAGGUUGACC